UUUCGCUAGAUAAAAACGCGUGGCGAUAGCAAGGUGUUAUCGCCGAUAGUGGUCUCACACGUGCUGUUUCCCUCUCUACUGCGAGGGAACCUGAAGCUUUUAUAAGCCGCAGCGGUACCAGCACUGUAAGAAGAGCUGUCCUGACGACGGUGCGUGCAGUAUCUAGGCGGCGAGCGUCGGAAGAGUUCCUCUGGGAAAUUACGACAGUGGGCUACUGCAGAGAAAUUCCAGCUCUCUCGAAAGCGCCAUGGACACGCCUGCAACACAAGAUGACGUCACUGCGUACGCUAUCCCAACAGCUCUGCCGUCCUCGGACACCCCGCUACGCCUGAUUUAACGGUACCGACGCUUUCCCAUCCACAGCGACCCCAGCAGGUCAGAAGGCUACACUUGGAUUUGGACACUUCGCAAACGACCGUCUCGACGGACAGUAAUACUGUCCGCGGCUCCUGGCUGACUGUCCUUCCAAUGGCAUCUUUCACUCGCCGGAUGUUUGAAAAAGUGCGUGUGGAUAGAGCGCGAUGCGAUGGAACUUCCCAUGCAUUAUCUCAAAAUAAAGUUGUUUUUGUUGCUAUGUGUGCGUAAAAGAAAUGCGCCUUGACGAGUUGCGGGCACAUUAUGACUCACUGGUGACGACAGGGAACAGCGGUGUAUGCAAAUAAACAUGCCGUUACCCUGUG
Long non-coding RNA from Ornithodoros turicata, 680 nucleotides. RefSeq lists it as uncharacterized. NCBI's taxonomy places the organism in Eukaryota, Metazoa, Arthropoda, Arachnida, Ixodida, Argasidae. The record is from RefSeq and is a predicted model, not a curated record. The transcript is spliced from 2 exons.